GACGAACGCUGGCGGCGUGCUUAACACAUGCAAGUCGAACGGAAAGGCCCUGCUGUUGUGGGGUGCUCGAGUGGCGAACGGGUGAGUAACACGUGAGUAACCUGCCCUUGACUUGGGGAUAACUUCAGGAAACUGGGGCUAAUACUGAUGGGAGCAUCUGCUGCAAGGAGGGGGGUGGAAAGGUUCGGGGGUUGGGGCUGGACUCGCGGCUUAUGAGCUUGUUGGUGGGGGAGGGGCUUACCAAGGCUUUGGCGGGUAGCCGGCCUGAGGGGGUGACCGGCCACAUUGGGACUGCGAUACGGCCCAGACUCCUACGGUGGACAGCGGUGGGGAAUCUUGCCCAAUGGGCGGAAGCCUGAUGCAGCAACGCCGCGUGCGGGAUGAAGGCCUUCGGGUUGUAAACCGCUUUCGCCUGUGACGAAGCGUGAGUGACGGUACUGGGUAAAGAAGCACCGGCUAACUACGUG
This 467-nucleotide ribosomal RNA is filed under the name uncultured bacterium. Its description in RNAcentral is "partial 16S ribosomal RNA". It matches the Rfam family "Bacterial small subunit ribosomal RNA", at positions 28 to 507 of the family's 1533-position model. The record is from RNAcentral.